AGAACGAACGCUGGCGGCAUGCCUAACACAUGCAAGUCGAACGAGACCUUCGGGUCUAGUGGCGCACGGGUGCGUAACGCGUGGGAAUCUGCCCUUAGGUACGGAAUAACAGUGAGAAAUUACUGCUAAUACCGUAUGAUGUCUUCGGACCAAAGAUUUAUCGCCUAGGGAUGAGCCCGCGUUGGAUUAGCUAGUUGGUGGGGUAAAGGCCUACCAAGGCGACGAUCCAUAGCUGGUCUGAGAGGAUGAUCAGCCACACUGGGACUGAGACACGGCCCAGACUCCUACGGGAGGCAGCAGUGGGGAAUAUUGGACAAUGGGCGAAAGCCUGAUCCAGCAAUGCCGCGUGAGUGAAGAAGGCCUUCGGGUUGUAAAGCUCUUUUACCCGGGAAGAUAAUGACUGUACCGGGAGAAUAAGCCCCGGCUAACUCCGUGCCAGCAGCCGC
RNAcentral lists this ribosomal RNA (446 nucleotides) under uncultured bacterium. Its description in RNAcentral is "SSU rRNA". It matches the Rfam family "Bacterial small subunit ribosomal RNA", at positions 26 to 518 of the family's 1533-position model. The record is from RNAcentral.